Molecule: ribosomal RNA, 445 nt
Filed under: uncultured bacterium
Lineage: Bacteria
Description: partial 16S ribosomal RNA
Rfam family: Bacterial small subunit ribosomal RNA
Source: RNAcentral
GUGAGGAAUAUUGGACAAUGGGCGCAAGCCUGAUCCAGCCAUGCCGCGUGCAGGAAGACGCAUCUAUGGUGUGUAAACUGCUUUUGUACGGGAAGAAACACUCCCUCGUGAGGGAGCUUGACGGUACCGUAAGAAUAAGGAUCGGCUAACUCCGUGCCAGCAGCCGCGGUAAUACGGAGGAUCCAAGCGUUAUCCGGAAUCAUUGGGUUUAAAGGGUCCGUAGGCAGUUUAAUAAGUCAGUGGUGAAAGCCCAUCGCUCAACGAUGGAACGGCCAUUGAUACUGUUAGACUUGAAUUACAAGGAAGUAACUAGAAUAUGUAGUGUAGCGGUGAAAUGCUUAGAUAUUACAUGGAAUACCAAUUGCGAAGGCAGGUUACUACUUGUGGAUUGACGCUGAUGGACGAAAGCGUGGGGAGCGAACAGGAUUAGAUACCCUGGUAGUCC